Molecule: long non-coding RNA, 490 nt
Filed under: Malus domestica (apple)
Lineage: Eukaryota; Viridiplantae; Streptophyta; Magnoliopsida; Rosales; Rosaceae
Description: long non-coding RNA (MDOM_LNC006911)
Source: RNAcentral
UGGAGUAGGAGACUUUCCUUGGUUAGUCUCUUCUUAACAAUGACAACAUUUGCUACCCACGUUGGGUAAUUGACUUCACGGAUGAAGCCUAUGCCUUUGAGUUUUUCAACUUCUGCCUUCAUUGCCUCGUACCGUUCAGCGUCAUAGGAUCUUCACUUCUGUCUCACUGGCUUGGUCUUGGGGUCAAUACUUAAGCGAUGAUAGAUGAUAUCGGGAGAGAUGCCUGGCAUGUCCUCGUAUGACCAGGCGAAGACCUCAGUGUACUCCUGUAAAAAAAAGAUUAAUGCCAACCGAAUGGGUGGUGACAAGGUGGUGCCAAUCUUCACCAUGCGAUCCGGAUAAUCUUUUGAGAUAGAGAUAUUCUCCAACUCUUCAGCGGGUUGUGCUUGCUGGGUGAAAAAGUCAUCUCGAGGAUCGUUGGGUUGACUAUUGCCACCGUGAAGAUCCAAGUUGGUUUCGUCUAUAUUGGUCUUUAUGACUUGGUCAUGUA